CAACCACGAGGCUAUCCAAGCAGCCCUGUGGAGAGGCACACAUAGAGAGGAACUGAGACGUCCCAUCAACAGCCAACACAAAUGUGAGUGGUCUACGUGAGAGGGCCACCUUCAAAGUGGAUUCUCCAGCCAUAGCCAAGGCUUGACAGGUCCAGUCAACAUCUUUAUGGCAACCUCAUGAGAAACUCCAAACCACAACAGCUCAGCCAAGCUGUUCCUGAAUUCCUGAGCCACAGAAAUGCUGCAGAAUGGACAUCUCAUCCACAGCAGACCAAUCAGCGCUCUUUCCAGUGACAUUCAGAAGAGAAUUAAAGGGAAAAAGACCCUUUCCCUUUUGGUGAGAAACUGAGAAGGUGACUCCUGGAGCUGCGGGCAGCUGUGGUUCCAGCCUUAGCGGAAGAUGUUUAUCUAAAGGAAUGAAGAUGACCUGCAGAGAAAAUUAAAGACACGAACUUAGUCACCAGGUGAAGAAACCCAGGCUAGCCUGCUGGAGACAAGAAGCACCAUUUGCCAGACAUGAGAGGAAGACCACCAGAGAUCAUCUGGCCCACAUCAAGUUAUGCCACAUGAGGGACCCCGGAGAUCAGCAGAAGAACCAUCAGCCUGAACGCAGCCCCAAAUGAUGGUUCACAGUUAUGAGCAAAUGAAAUGGUG
This 654-nucleotide long non-coding RNA is filed under the name Equus caballus (horse). Its description in RNAcentral is "lncRNA (ENSECAG00000050470.1)". The record is from RNAcentral. Lineage: Eukaryota; Metazoa; Chordata; Mammalia; Perissodactyla; Equidae.